RNAcentral lists this ribosomal RNA (338 nucleotides) under uncultured Leptolinea sp. Its description in RNAcentral is "bacterial SSU rRNA". It matches the Rfam family "Bacterial small subunit ribosomal RNA", at positions 1034 to 1382 of the family's 1533-position model. Lineage: Bacteria; Bacillati; Chloroflexota; Anaerolineae; Anaerolineales; Anaerolineaceae. The record is from RNAcentral.
ACAGGUGCUGCAUGGCUGUCGUCAGCUCGUGUCGUGAGAUGUUCGGUUAAGUCCGCUAACGAGCGCAACCCUCGUCCGUGUGUUAUACGUGUCACACGAUACUGCCGGGUAUCAAGUCCGGAGGAAGGUGGGGAGUGAUGUCAAGUCAGCAUGGCCUUUAUAUCCUGGGCUACACACACGCUACAAUGGCAGAUACAAUAGGUUGCGAAACCGCGAGGUGGAGCCAAUCCUCAAAGUCUGUCUCAGUUCAGAUUGUAGGCUGCAACUCGCCUGCAUGAAGUUGGAGUUGCUAGUAAACGCAGGUCAGCUAUACUGCGUUGAAUACGUUCCCGGGGUUU